This 497-nucleotide ribosomal RNA is filed under the name uncultured bacterium. Its description in RNAcentral is "partial 16S ribosomal RNA". It matches the Rfam family "Bacterial small subunit ribosomal RNA", at positions 28 to 507 of the family's 1533-position model. The record is from RNAcentral.
GAUGAACGCUGGCGGCGUGCCUAAUACAUGCAAGUCGAGCGAACAGAUGAGGAGCUUGCUCCUCUGACGUUAGCGGCGGACGGGUGAGUAACACGUGGAUAACCUACCUAUAAGACUGGGAUAACUUCGGGAAACCGGAGCUAAUACCGGAUAAUAUAUUGAACCGCAUGGUUCAAUAGUGAAAGACGGUUUUGCUGUCACUUAUAGAUGGAUCCGCGCCGCAUUAGCUAGUUGGUAAGGUAACGGCUUACCAAGGCAACGAUGCGUAGCCGACCUGAGAGGGUGAUCGGACACACUGGAACUGGGACACGGUCCAGACUCCUACGGGAGGCAGCAGUAGGGAAUCUUCCGCAAUGGGCGAAGGCCUGACGGAGCAACGCCGCGUGAGUGAUGAAGCUCUUCGGAUCGUAAAACUCUGUUAUUAGGGAAGAACAAAUGUGUAAGUAACUAUGCACGUCUUGACGGUACCUAAUCAGAAAGCCACGGCUAACUACGUG